Molecule: ribosomal RNA, 478 nt
Filed under: uncultured bacterium
Lineage: Bacteria
Description: partial 16S ribosomal RNA
Rfam family: Bacterial small subunit ribosomal RNA
Source: RNAcentral
GAUGAACGCUGGCGGCGUGCUUAACACAUGCAAGUCGAACGGUAAUUCUUUUAUUGAAACUUCGGUCGAUUUAAUUUACUUCUAGUGGCGGACGGGUGAGUAACGCGUGGGUAACCUGCCUUAUACAGGGGGAUAACAGUCAGACAUGGCUGCUAAUACCGCAUAAGCGCACAGAGCUGCAUGGCUCAGUGUGAAUAACUCCGGUGGUAUAAGAUGGACCCGCGUUGGGUUAGCUUGUUGGCAGGGUAACGGCCUACCAAGGCGACGAUCCAGAGCCGGCCUGAGAGGGUGAACGGUCACAUUGGGACUGAGACACGGCCCAGACUCCUACGGGAGGCAGCAGUGGGGAAUAUUGCACAAUGGGGGAAACGCUGAUGCAGCGACGCCGCGUGAAGGGAGAAGUAUCUCGGUAUGUAAACUUCUAUCAGCAGAGCAGAUAGUGACGGUACCUGACUAAGAAGCCCCGGCUAACUACGUG